UUCAAUAAUGUUACCUUGUACUUAUAAUAACAUCUUGUCACAUUUAUUGUUGUUGCCAUGUAUGAACACUGACACAAUUUUCCUAGAAAAAUCUCAUAAAGUAUGAACAAUGUUUUGUUUUAUCCAGAUUCCAAGACUUUGGAAUGGAAAGAAGUAGAGGACUGUCAUAAAAACAUGAUCCAGUUAGAGAAUAUGUGUAUGACCUGAACAAGAAAGUUUUAAUUCUGAAGAGACAACAACAAUGUAUGUGUUUGGUAUCAGAAUUUGGAGUAGAGUUUCCAUCCGAUUUUGGACAGUGUCGUGGAAUUAGUGUUAGUAUAUUUCAAUAUAUGACUUUCCAAUUAUAAUAUAUAGUCCUAGUAUAUAUUUUUAGUAUAGUAAGUAAUUUUGUGUCUUGAGCAAAGGCUAUAUGGUAUGGGGUGUAUUGCCUUGC
This 433-nucleotide long non-coding RNA is filed under the name Trifolium pratense (red clover). RNAcentral describes it as "long non-coding RNA (TPRA_LNC001198)". The record is from RNAcentral. Lineage: Eukaryota; Viridiplantae; Streptophyta; Magnoliopsida; Fabales; Fabaceae.